Non-coding RNA from Oryza meridionalis, 195 nucleotides. The record is from Rfam. NCBI's taxonomy places the organism in Eukaryota, Viridiplantae, Streptophyta, Magnoliopsida, Poales, Poaceae.
AAAAAACCAAAUCCUGAGUUUCCGUGUCCAACGUUUGACUGUCCGUCUUAUUUAAAAAAAAUUAAAAAGACAAGUCACGGAUAAAGUAUAAAUCAUGUUUUAUCAUCUAACAACAAUAAAAAUACUAAUUAUAAAAAAUUUUCAUAUAAGACGGACAGUCAAACGUUAGCACGGAAACCCACGGUUUGCUUUUUU